UAAUAUGCAAUCAUUAAAAAGCUUCAAAAAAAACAUUCAACUUUGAAAAAAAAACUACCUCGAUCAAAUCAUAUAUUGUUUAACGCAUCAUAGAUGGUUUAUUUCCUAACAAAUUAUUAUCCCAUAACAAUUAUUUUUUAACUUCAAGAUUUCUGCCAAAAAUUGAUGCUCUUUAUCCAAAUCCAUGUUUGUCUUACUUAUCAACAAAAUUAAUCACCGGUCACUCUUCUUUAAAAC
This 237-nucleotide long non-coding RNA is filed under the name Lathyrus oleraceus (garden pea). RNAcentral describes it as "Pisum sativum (pea) long non-coding RNA (PSAT_LNC031463)". The record is from RNAcentral. Lineage: Eukaryota; Viridiplantae; Streptophyta; Magnoliopsida; Fabales; Fabaceae.